GAUGAACGCUGGCGGCGUGCCUAAUACAUGCAAGUCGAGCGAACAUUUGGGGACUUGCCCCCAAUAGUUAUCGGCGGACGGGGGAGUAAAACGCGGGGAACCUGCCUCUAAGACUGGGGGAACUUCUGGAAACCGGGGCGAAUACCGGAGAACAUUUAAUACCACAUGGCCUUCAAUUAAAAGGUGGCGUUUAGCUACCACUUACAGAUGGACCCGCGGCGCAUUAGCUAGUUGGUGAGGUAACGGCUCACCAAGGCAACGAUGCGUAGCCGACCUGAGAGGGUUGACCGCCCCCCCGGGACUUGGGCCCGGGCCCGACCCCUUCGGGAGGCCGCAGUAGGGAAACUUCCGCAAUGGGGGGAAGUCUGAAGGGGCAACGCCGCGUGGGGGGAGAAGGCCUUCGGGUCGUAAAGCUCCGUUGUUAGGGAAGAAACAGAAUUGUUCGAAUAGGGCGGUAUCUUGACGGUACCUAACCAGAAAGCCACGGCUAACUACGUG
This 498-nucleotide ribosomal RNA is filed under the name uncultured bacterium. Its description in RNAcentral is "partial 16S ribosomal RNA". It matches the Rfam family "Bacterial small subunit ribosomal RNA", at positions 28 to 507 of the family's 1533-position model. The record is from RNAcentral.